RNAcentral lists this ribosomal RNA (484 nucleotides) under uncultured bacterium. Its description in RNAcentral is "bacterial SSU rRNA". It matches the Rfam family "Bacterial small subunit ribosomal RNA", at positions 30 to 507 of the family's 1533-position model. The record is from RNAcentral.
AUUGAACGCUGGCGGCAUGCCUUACACAUGCAAGUCGAACGGCAGCACGGGAGCAAUCCUGGUGGCGAGUGGCGAACGGGUGAGUAAUAUAUCGGAACGUGCCCGGUCGUGGGGGAUAACGUAGCGAAAGCUACGCUAAUACCGCAUACGAUCUACGGAUGAAAGCGGGGGAUCGCAAGACCUCGCGCGAUUGGAGCGGCCGAUAUCAGAUUAGGUAGUUGGUAAGGUAAAGGCUCACCAAGCCGACGAUCUGUAGCUGGUCUGAGAGGACGACCAGCCACACUGGGACUGAGACACGGCCCAGACUCCUACGGGAGGCAGCAGUGGGGAAUUUUGGACAAUGGGCGCAAGCCUGAUCCAGCAAUGCCGCGUGCAGGAUGAAGGCCUUCGGGUUGUAAACUGCUUUUGUACGGAACGAAACGGUGAGCUCUAAUACAGUUUGCUAAUGACGGUACCGUAAGAAUAAGCACCGGCUAACUACGUG